CGAACGGCAGCACGGGGGCAACCCUGGUGGCGAGUGGCGAACGGGUGAGUAAUGCAUCGGAACGUGCCCAGUCGUGGGGGAUAACGUAGCGAAAGCUACGUAAUACCGCAUACGAUCUAUGGAUGAAAGCGGGGGACCUUCGGGCCUCGCGCGAUUGGAGCGGCCGAUGUCAGAUUAGGUAGUUGGUGGGGUAAAGGCCUACCAAGCCGACGAUCUGUAGCUGGUCUGAGAGGACGACCAGCCACACUGGGACUGAGACACGGCCCAGACUCCUACGGGAGGCAGCAGUGGGGAAUUUCGGACAAUGGGCGCAAGCCUGAUCCAGCAAUGCCGCGUGCAGGAUGAAGGCCUUCGGGUUGUAAACUGCUUUUGUACGGAACGAAAAGGCUCUGGCUAAUACCUGGGGCUGAUGACGGUACCGUAAGAA
RNAcentral lists this ribosomal RNA (427 nucleotides) under uncultured thermophilic aerobic biofilm eubacterium SCBP-A4. RNAcentral's name for it is "bacterial SSU rRNA". It matches the Rfam family "Bacterial small subunit ribosomal RNA", at positions 63 to 486 of the family's 1533-position model. The record is from RNAcentral.